UUAAAAUGAAAUGCAUAUGAGUUAUGUGAAAAAACGGGAAGUGAAAUACCAUGCAUAGAAUUGAUAUGAAAAGUAUAUAGAAAUGUGAGUUGAAAUGCCAUGCAUGAAUUGAUAUAUGAUGCAUAUGUAUGAAUUGGUGCGGUGGACGCACAGGUAAGAAUUGAUUUAUGAUGCAUAUAUAUGAAUUGGUGCGGUGGACGCACAGGUAAGAAUUGAUUUAUGAUGCAUAUGUAUGAAAUGGUGCGGUGAACGCACAGGUGAGUAUUUAUUUCUGUUAUGAUGAUGUUGAUGUAUAUUGAGCUCAAAUCCUGCACCAUAGUUUAGUGCUUAUAGUAUUCACCGCAUCGCACGCUCGCCUUGGAUCCAAGUAGAUGCUAGUCGUACAGUCCACGCGGAGUGGGUACGACAGGCAGUCGCGAGAGUGUUAGUGAGAUUCCGACUGGUGGGUGACCUUAGAUUAUGUGCACAGAUGAUUUAUGAGAAAGCACUAGAGCGUAACUUAUGUGCAGAAGGCCGUACAGGUCACGCGGAGUGACUCCGGCAGAGUGUGAGAGUUAUAGAUUUUUGAGCUCUAGGUUCAACCGGGCUAAUAGAGGGCCUCCGGUUGAUUACUUUAUUGCACCCUGAUAUGAUUUAUGUUGAUGCAUUCAUACCUUAUUACUGUUUGAGAUGAUGUGGCAUGACAUAAUUAAUAUGAGAAAUGUUGAGAUGAUGUGGCAUGGCAUAAUUAUGAUGAAAAUGUUGAGUUAAUGAAUUGAAGUAUUGAGAAUAUAUAUAUGUAUAUUUAUAUUUUAUAUUUCUGGGAAAGUAUACAGGUUUUACGGAGAGGGGUUACAACGUUUUGAGAAAUGUUUGGAUUUGGAAAAGAAUUGUUUUACUGACCCACUCAAUUUUGGUUUUGCGCCCCUCCAG
RNAcentral lists this long non-coding RNA (912 nucleotides) under Malus domestica (apple). Its description in RNAcentral is "long non-coding RNA (MDOM_LNC016142)". The record is from RNAcentral. Lineage: Eukaryota; Viridiplantae; Streptophyta; Magnoliopsida; Rosales; Rosaceae.